Molecule: ribosomal RNA, 206 nt
Filed under: uncultured bacterium
Lineage: Bacteria
Description: partial 16S ribosomal RNA
Rfam family: Bacterial small subunit ribosomal RNA
Source: RNAcentral
UACGUAGGUGGCAAGCGUUGUCCGGAAUUAUUGGGCGUAAAGCGCGCGCAGGCGGUCCUUUAAGUCUGAUGUGAAAGCCCACGGCUCAACCGUGGAGGGUCAUUGGAAACUGGGGGACUUGAGUACAGAAGAGGAAAGCGGAAUUCCACGUGUAGCGGUGAAAUGCGUAGAGAUGUGGAGGAACACCAGUGGCGAAGGCGGCUUCU